GAUGAACGCUGGCGGCGUGCCUAAUACAUGCAAGUCGAGCGAACAGACGAGGAGCUUGCUCCUCUGACGUUAGCGGCGGACGGGUGAGUAACACGUGGAUAACCUACCUAUAAGACUGGGAUAACUUCGGGAAACCGGAGCUAAUACCGGAUAAUAUAUUGAACCGCAUGGUUCAAUAGUGAAAGACGGUUUUGCUGUCACUUAUAGAUGGAUCCGCGCCGCAUUAGCUAGUUGGUAAGAUGACGGCUUACCAAGGCAACGAUGCGUAGCCGACCUGAGAGGGUGAUCGGCCACACUGGAACUGAGACACGGUCCAGACUCCUACGGGAGGCAGCAGUAGGGAAUCUUCCGCAAUGGGCGAAAGCCUGACGGAGCAACGCCGCGUGAGUGAUGAAGGUCUUCGGAUCGUAAAACUCUGUUAUUAGGGAAGAACAAAUGUGUAAGUAACUAUGCACGUCUUGACGGUACCUAAUCAGAAAGCCACGGCUAACUACGUG
Molecule: ribosomal RNA, 497 nt
Filed under: uncultured bacterium
Lineage: Bacteria
Description: partial 16S ribosomal RNA
Rfam family: Bacterial small subunit ribosomal RNA
Source: RNAcentral